Molecule: ribosomal RNA, 488 nt
Filed under: uncultured bacterium
Lineage: Bacteria
Description: bacterial SSU rRNA
Rfam family: Bacterial small subunit ribosomal RNA
Source: RNAcentral
CGAACGUUAGCGGUGUGGAUUAGGCAUGCAAGUCGAGCGCGAAAGUCCGCAAGGAUGAGUAAAGCGGCGAACGGGUGAGUAAUACGUAAUCAACCUACCCCCGAGAUCGGAAUAACCAUUGGAAACGAUGGCUAAUGCUGGAUGGCCCUGCGGGCUGGCAUCUGCCUGCAGGUAAACGGUGGCGCAAGCUGCUGUUCGGGGACGGGAUUACGGGCUAUCAGCUAGUUGGCGGGGUAAAAGCCCACCAAGGCUAUGACGGCUAGCCGAUCUGAGAGGAUGACCGGCCACACUGGGACUGAGACACUGCCCAGACUCCUACGGGAGGCUGCAGUCGAGGAUCUUCCGCAAUGGGCGAAAGCCUGACGGAGCGACACCGCGUGCAGGAUGAAGGCCUUCGGGUUGUAAACUGCUGUCACGCCAUAGGAACCGCUGAGGGUGAAUAUCCCUCAGUCUGACUAAAGCGAAAGGAAGCACCGGCUAACUCUGUG